This 108-nucleotide small nuclear RNA is filed under the name Eucalyptus grandis. The record is from RNAcentral. Lineage: Eukaryota; Viridiplantae; Streptophyta; Magnoliopsida; Myrtales; Myrtaceae.
GUUGUCUCUACAAAAACUUUAAAUAAAAUUGGAACGAUAUACAGAGAAGAUUAAUAGUGCCCCUGCACAAGAAUGAUAUGCACAAAUCGAGAAAUGAUCCGACCUAAG